CCUACGUGAGGCAGCAGUGGGGAAUAUUGCACAAUGGGGGAAACCCUGAUGCAGCCACGCCGCGUGAGUGAAGACGUAUUUCGGGGUGUAAAGCGCUUUCAGCAGGGAAGAGAAAGACGGUACGUGUCACAUAAGCCCCGGCUAACUACGUGCCAGCAGACGCGGGACUAAGCCGGGGGCGCGCGUUAUCCGGAUUUACUGGGUGUAAAGGGAGCGUAGACGGUUGUGCAAGUCUGACGUGAAAGCCCCUGGCUUAACCGCGGAACGGCUUUGGAAACUGGGGAACUGGAGUGCUGGAGAGGCAAGCGGAAUUCCUAGUGUAGCGGUGAAAUGCGUAGAUAUUAGGAGGAACACCAGUGGCGAAGGCGGUUUGCUGGACAGUAACUGACGCUGAGGCUCGAAAGCGUGGGGAGCAAACAGGAUUAGAUACCCUAGUAGUC
This 440-nucleotide ribosomal RNA is filed under the name uncultured bacterium. RNAcentral describes it as "partial 16S ribosomal RNA". It matches the Rfam family "Bacterial small subunit ribosomal RNA", at positions 338 to 795 of the family's 1533-position model. The record is from RNAcentral.